This 453-nucleotide ribosomal RNA is filed under the name uncultured bacterium. RNAcentral's name for it is "bacterial SSU rRNA". It matches the Rfam family "Bacterial small subunit ribosomal RNA", at positions 29 to 474 of the family's 1533-position model. The record is from RNAcentral.
AUUGAACGCUGGCGGCAUGCCUUACACAUGCAAGUCGAACGGCAGCACGGGAGCAAUCCUGGUGGCGAGUGGCGAACGGGUGAGUAAUACAUCGGAACGUGUCCUGUAGUGGGGGAUAGCCCGGCGAAAGCCGGAUUAAUACCGCAUACGAUCUACGGAAGAAAGCGGGGGAUCCUUCGGGACCUCGCGCUAUAGGGGUGGCCGAUGGCGGAUUAGCUAGUUGGUGGGGUAAAGGCCUACCAAGGCGACGAUCCGUAGCUGGUCUGAGAGGACGACCAGCCACACUGGGACUGAGACACGGCCCAGACUCCUACGGGAGGCAGCAGUGGGGAAUUUUGGACAAUGGGCGAAAGCCUGAUCCAGCAAUGCCGCGUGUGUGAAGAAGGCCUUCGGGUUGUAAAGCACUUUUGUCCGGAAAGAAAUCCCUGGUCCUAAUAUGGCCGGGGGAUGACG